GAAUUCCAGAAAGAAAACAGAUGAACAUGGUGAGGAAUCACGAAAUCCUCCCCAUGAAGCAAAGGAACAAACACUGCAUGGAAACCAAUUAGAAUUGAAGUCAAUGAAGAAAAGAAGAAGACCAUGUUCUACUUCACGAAGACUGAGGUGAGAAAUCAUGAAAUCUUACCCCGGAAGCCACGGAAUGAACACUGCUUGGAAAGAAACUGGGAUGGAAGACAAGGAAAGAAGACCAUGUUCUACUUCAUGAAGAG
Molecule: long non-coding RNA, 254 nt
Organism: Neogale vison (American mink)
Lineage: Eukaryota; Metazoa; Chordata; Mammalia; Carnivora; Mustelidae
Exons: 3
Source: RefSeq, a predicted model, not a curated record